GUGUCAGCCGCCGCGGUAAGACGUAGGGUGCGAGCGUUGUCCGGAUUUAUUGGGCGUAAAGAGCUCGUAGGCGGCUCGUCGCGUCGACCGUGAAAACCCGCAGCUUAACUGCGGGCUUGCGGUUGAUACGGGCGGGCUAGAGUUCGGUAGGGGAGACUGGAAUUCCUGGUGUAGCGGUGAAAUGCGCAGAUAUCAGGAGGAACACCGGUGGCGAAGGCGGGUCUCUGGGCCGAUACUGACGCUGAGGAGCGAAAGCGUGGGGAGCGAACAGGAUUAGAAACCCCAGUAGUCC
RNAcentral lists this ribosomal RNA (292 nucleotides) under uncultured bacterium. RNAcentral's name for it is "partial 16S ribosomal RNA". It matches the Rfam family "Bacterial small subunit ribosomal RNA", at positions 505 to 796 of the family's 1533-position model. The record is from RNAcentral.